ACAUGCAAGUCGAACGCGAAAGAGUUCUUCGGAACUUGAGUAGAGUGGCGCACGGGUGAGUAACGCGUAAGUGAUCUACCCCUGUAUCUGGAAUAACCAUGGGAAACUGUGGCUAAUACCGGAUACGUUCAUGUGAUUGCGGUCAUGUGAAGAAAGAUGGCCUCUGACUUAAGCUAUCGUACAGGGAGGAGCUUGCGUACCAUUAGCUAGUUGGCAGGGUAAAGGCCUACCAAGGCGACGAUGGUUAGCGGGUCUGAGAGGAUGAUCCGCCACACUGGAACUGAAACACGGACCAGACUCCUACGGGAGGCAGCAGUGAGGAAUAUUGCGCAAUGGGGGCAACCCUGACGCAGCGACGCCGCGUGGAUGAUGAAGGCCUUCGGGUCGUAAAAUCCUGUCGGAUGGGAAGAAGUGUAAUGUGGUUAAUACCCAUGUUAUUUGACGGUACCAUCAAAGGAAGCACCGGCUAACUCCGUGCCAGCAGCCGCGGUAAUACGGAGGGUGCAAGCGUUGUUCGGAAUUACUGGGCGUAAAGCGCGCGUAGGCGGUUUGUUAAGUCAGAUGUGAAAGCCCAGGGCUUAACCCUGGACGUGCAUUUGAAACUGUCAGACUUGAGUAUUGGAGGGGGUGGUGGAAUUCCCGGUGUAGAGGUGAAAUUCGUAGAUAUCGGGAGGAAUACCGGUGGCGAAGGCGACCACCUGGCCAAAUACUGACGCUGAGGUGCGAAGGCGUGNGGAGCAAACAGGAUUAGAUACCCUGGUAGUCCACGCGGUAAACGAUGAGAACUANGUGUUGGGACGGUUGAUCGUCUCAUUGCCGCAGCUAACGCAUUAAGUU
RNAcentral lists this ribosomal RNA (837 nucleotides) under uncultured bacterium. RNAcentral's name for it is "SSU rRNA". It matches the Rfam family "Bacterial small subunit ribosomal RNA", at positions 53 to 866 of the family's 1533-position model. The record is from RNAcentral.